This 950-nucleotide long non-coding RNA is filed under the name Heterocephalus glaber (naked mole-rat). RNAcentral describes it as "lncRNA (ENSHGLG00000033686.1)". The record is from RNAcentral. Lineage: Eukaryota; Metazoa; Chordata; Mammalia; Rodentia; Bathyergidae.
AGUGUCUGUAACAUCUGCAUGUUUUAUUUCUCAUUGCUGGCAUUGGACAUUUGAGUUAUUCUUUCUCCCAUUCACCUCAUCAGGUUUUUCCAUCUCUCUCCUCUGUGUUGAGUAUACUCUCAUGGACUGUCUUCCAUUUCAUUAUCUCUUCCAAUCUGACUCAUCUCUCAUCUCCAUUAGGUGAUAGUACUAACUUGGCACGAUUUUAUACUACACUCACAGCUUGAGAUCUGAGUGUCCUGCCGCCAACCUACAUCUCUGACAAUUACUUGGAAAGGCUAGAGAAAGUAAGAGGAUGAGUCACCAAAAUGCAGCAUCAAUUGAGAAGGUAAUUCUCCUCCUCCGGGUCUCUUGUGCCGGCUCAAGGUAUUCACAUAAAGAUUGGGAUGGCUUACAGAGGGAGAGGGGGUGUUAGAUGACUGUCUUGGCAAGAAACCUCCGAUAAACUUGUGCCUACUGAAGGAGAGGAGGAAAGAUUAAAGAAGAUUACAGGACAAAGGGAUUGUGAUUAGGGCAACCCACACUCCUAUCCUUUGGUAAGAAUAGGUUACUUGCCUCCAAAUUUGAGCCAUCCUGCCAGGGCCUCUUUCAUCAAGACGACAUAUUGGGAGAGGGGACCCUGUCUUAGACACUUUCUUGCCACUGAGACAUAAUACUGACACUCACAAUUUAAAGAAGGGUUUAUUUUGGCUCACAGUCCAUGGUUGGCUGGCUCCAACACAGAAACCACAUUGCAGAAGGACCAGGCAGAGGUAAAUGGCUCAUGGUCAAGAAGUAGGGAAAGGAGCGAGAGCCACUCAGAGAUACACCCCUUCCAAGUCACACCCCCAGUGACCUGCCUCUUCCUCAAGCAAACUCACCUUCUAAUGGGAUAUUUGGCUAUUAGUGUAGUGGACCUAUGCUUCAGUCACUUUCCAAAAGCCCAGCCUUUGAGAACAUGAGAGUUGGGG